CAAAAAUCAUUUUAAAAACAAAAAAUAAAGUAAACAUGCUCAUCUUGAUGGCAGUGUUAGAACUUGGAACCUAGAUAACCAGGAGUUCCAAUAUGAGUCCUUGGUCACCAUUGGCUCUGCCUUCCACCCUCUCUAUUUCUUCCCUCUUUUCCUAUCCCCGUCCCCCAGGCUCCCUGAUUCCUUUCACCCAUGUGUCUGCUGCUUUCCAUAAUACGGACAUCUUGGUCCAAACAUGAAGUCAAAACUCAGAACUACCCACCUGCCAGCCACUAAUAUUUGGUUAAAACUCCAGAUGGAGAAGCAUAGCCAAGAGGAGGAUGCUGUUGGAAUUCAGAGGUUUGCAACAAGAGAAACAUCAUCCUAUCUAAUGCUCAACUCUCUCAAGUGCCUGGAACCACAAAUGAUAUUGAUUUGUUUUGUUUUCCGGUUUUAUUUCAUAAUCCUCUCAUUCACAAGGCUCAGGUAUGGUGUCCAG
RNAcentral lists this long non-coding RNA (475 nucleotides) under Mustela putorius furo (domestic ferret). Its description in RNAcentral is "lncRNA (ENSMPUG00000026378.1)". Lineage: Eukaryota; Metazoa; Chordata; Mammalia; Carnivora; Mustelidae. The record is from RNAcentral.